CAGGUGCGCCAGAACUACCACCAGGACUCAGAGGCGGCCAUCAACCGCCAGAUCAACCUGGAGCUCUACGCCUCCUACGUUUACCUGUCCAUGUCUUACUACUUUGACCACGAUGAUGUGGCUUUGAAGAACUUUGCCAAAUACUUUCUUCACCAAUCUCAUGAGGAGAGGGAACAUGCUGAGGAACUGAUGAAGCUGCAGAACCAAUGAGGUGGCCGAAUCUUCCUUCAGGAUAUCAAGAAACCAGACUGUGAUGACUGGGAGCGGGCUGAAUGAGAUGGAGUGUGCAUUACAUUUGGAAAAAAAUGUGAAUCAGUCACCACUGGAACUGCACAAACUGGCCACUGACAAAAAUGACCCCCAUUUGUGUGACUUCAUUGAGACACAUUACCUGAAUGAGCAGGUGAAAGCCAUCAAAGAAUUGGGUGACCACGUGACCAACUUGCACAAGAUGGGAGCGCCCGAAUCUGGCUUGGCGGAAUAUCUCUUCGACAAGCACACCCCGGGGAGACAG
Molecule: long non-coding RNA, 514 nt
Filed under: Homo sapiens (human)
Lineage: Eukaryota; Metazoa; Chordata; Mammalia; Primates; Hominidae
Description: non-protein coding lnc-FMR1NB-3:1
Source: RNAcentral